AUUAAAGGAGAAAGAAAAUGGAUAUUAAUAUUGAUUUACAAAAUUUAAUCAUGGUCACAAAAUGUGACCGAGAACCGGUUAGGGCGAAAUGACAAUAAAAUUGAUGUCAUUCGCGAAUUCAUAACGCGGUGAAAAUAUACAUUUAAUUUAUUGAAACUUUGAUGGUAUAGCGACAUAGUUUUGUCGAAUCCACAUAAAAAUCUAAUUUAGAUGUAAUGGAAUUUAAACAACAAACUCAGCCUUAUUUUAUUUACAAUGUCUUUCAAUAAUUCUGGAUUUUCAAAAUAACUUAUGCACAUGAAACUUACAAAACAACAGUUACUCCUAUCGGCCUAAACGUUUUUCACAUUUGAAUCCAACCAAAUUACAAUAAGAUGAUACCAGUUUUGUCACUUAUCGUAAGCUUUUCUCUGUUAAUGUCAAUGGACCAUUUGCUUAAUAUAAGUUUAAGAACAUCAUUUUGGAAGAAAACGUUGGCUGAUUAUUACACCUUGAUUGUACAGUGAGUACGGUUGUUGCUUUUUUUUUAACAAAGAAAACUCAUAACUUUGGCAGACUUUUCAAAAUCACAGGAACCAAUAUUUAAAUGAAUAACAUGCCAAUAAACAACACUGUGAUGAUUUAUAAUAAACGGCUUAAACCUGCAAACACAAAUCAACAAAGUUACGUGACCCUAAGGAUUUCUCUCUUGCGACUCUUUAAAGAAGAACGGACGUCUCAUCGGAACAAUCAGAAAAUCGCAAGCAACUUAUGAUAAACCAUAGCAAAAUUUCAUUCUAGCACUUAUGUCCUUAUGUAAAGCAGAAACACUCAAAGAAAAAUAGCAGGGGUAUCAUAAAAUAAAACUCAGUUUAGAAAGGAAACAAAGGUAUAAUACAGGAAUCCUAGGCCAACCAACGAUAUUGAAAUGCAGAAAAAAGUAUUAAACAAACAGUCGAAACAUAAUCGAGUAGAAUAACCAACCCAAACAAGAAAGGAGAUCUCGAGUUAUCGUAUGUUGUGGACGGCUAGCUGCUUACUGUUGUGCUACGAGUUACCGCUUUCGACCCUUGGAAGCUUCCUCCUGCGAUCUGUCCCUGUUUUGACCUUGACUCUAUAUCCCCAAUGAAUAUAGAUCUGCCUUUGAUGUUCGCGAGACCGAAAUCGCCGUUGACCUCCUGCUAACGCCUUUGGAUAAAUGGUUGCUAAGCGAAUCGCCGGCGGAAAAACAAAUCGGACGGAAUAUGAGUGAUUCCGGUUGGUGUAGGCCGCGAUUAGGGGUUUGCUGAAGGUGUUGACGGUGAGGUCAUGAUUUCAGGUGGCGGUGGAAUCGAUUGUGGAGAUGGAAGAAGGCGAAGGGUUUGAAUCACGGUGAGAGAGGGUUUGGUGGUGGCGAUUCACGGUGAGGUAAGCGAUUUACACGGAGGUUGAGCGGAGAUGGGAGGACGCGUUAGGUUGUGUUGCGAUGAAGAUGAUGAAGGGUUUGAGGGUUACCGUUGGUGGUGGCGAAAGGGAUUUUGACGGUGGAUUCCGUGGUUGUGUUGGUGGAAGAGGAGGAUGGAGGGUUUUGUGAGGGAGAAAGAGAGUGAGGGAUUUUGAGAGAGGCGGAGGGUUUUGUAAGGGUUUCUGUGAAGUGGAGUGUGAGCGAGAGAGGAGAGGGAAAGGUGAAGUGUGUCAUUUGUGGGUGAGUGAUUUGUGAGGAUCCGCAAUCCGAGAGAGUGAAGGGUCGGUGAAAUAGUGAGGUGUCCAUCUGAGUGGAAUUCUGUUUUGAGUGGAUUGUGGGUAGGCACGUGGAGCGUGUGAGGAUUAUACCAGCAGCUUAUGAGUGAAUUUUUUUGUUUUUAGUGGAUUGGGGGAUCCAAUGUAAGAAAUAUACAUUUUCCAUAAUUGUUAUUUAAAUAAUAAAUCAUAAAAACCUUAGUUAAUAUUUAAUUUAAA
Molecule: long non-coding RNA, 1917 nt
Filed under: Lathyrus oleraceus (garden pea)
Lineage: Eukaryota; Viridiplantae; Streptophyta; Magnoliopsida; Fabales; Fabaceae
Description: Pisum sativum (pea) long non-coding RNA (PSAT_LNC029711)
Source: RNAcentral